GACGAACGCUGGCGGCGUGCUUAACACAUGCAAGUCGAACGGAAAGGCCCUGCUUUUGUGGGGUGCUCGAGUGGCGAACGGGUGAGUAACACGUGAGUAACCUGCCCUUGACUUUGGGAUAACUUCAGGAAACUGGGGCUAAUACCGGAUAGGAGCUCCUGCUGCAUGGUGGGGGUUGGAAAGUUUCGGCGGUUGGGGAUGGACUCGCGGCUUAUCAGCUUGUUUGUGGGGUAGUGGCUCACCAAGGCUUUGACGAGUAGCCGGCCUGAGAGGGUGACCGGCCACAUUGGGACUGAGAUACGGCCAAGACUCCUACGGGAGGCAGCAGUGGGGAAUAUUGCACAAGGGGAGGAAGCCGGAUGCAGCAACGCCGCGUGCGGGAUGAAGGCCUUCGGGUUGUAAACCGCGUUCGCCUGUGACGAAGCGUGAGUGACGGUAAUGGGUAAAGAAGCACCGGCUAACUACGUG
RNAcentral lists this ribosomal RNA (468 nucleotides) under uncultured bacterium. RNAcentral's name for it is "partial 16S ribosomal RNA". It matches the Rfam family "Bacterial small subunit ribosomal RNA", at positions 28 to 507 of the family's 1533-position model. The record is from RNAcentral.